Long non-coding RNA from Oncorhynchus tshawytscha (Chinook salmon), 1284 nucleotides. The record is from Ensembl. NCBI's taxonomy places the organism in Eukaryota, Metazoa, Chordata, Actinopteri, Salmoniformes, Salmonidae.
GUGUGUGUGUGUGAAGGUCUGUGAGUGUGGUGGUGUGUGUGAUGGUCCGUGAGUGAGGUGGUGUGUGUGUGUGUGUUACUGUCUGUGAGUGAGGUGGUGUGUGUGAUGGUCUGUGAGUGAGGUGGUGUGUGUGUGUGACGGUCUGUGAGUGAGGUGGUGUGUGUGUGAUGGUUUGUGAGUGAGUGGUGUGUGUGUGUGUGUGUGAGUGUGGUGGUGUGUGUGUGAGUGAGUGGUGGUGUGUGUGUGUGUGAGUGAGGUGGUGUGUGUGUGUGUGAGUGAGGUGGUGUGUGUGUGUGUGAGUGAGGUGGUGUGUGUGUGUGUGAGUGAGGUGGUGUGUGUGUGUGUGUGUGUGAGUGUGUGUGUGUGUGUGUGUGAGGUGGUGUGUGUGUGUGUGUGUGUGUGUGUGUGUGUGUGUGAGGUGGUGUGUGUGUGUUUAGAGAAAGAGGAGGACGGAGCUCAAGUCAACAUCACCGCUUUAUUGAUAGACACAGUAAAGCAUGUUAUAAUACAGUAGUAAGGCAUAUAUUUGGUGGAAUUUGAUAUGUUGUGGAACAAAUGAGUUAUUGAAAAAGAUGGACAAUACAACUCCAGGGUUAGAAAUGAAUGACACAGUGGAUUAAUGAAUCAUUAUCUUUGAUCAUGCUGCUAUAAACAUGGUGACAAAACGAAGCAAAAAGGUGUUGUCAUGAAACUGUAAUAAUCCUGAAGAAUACCUUCAAUUGUUUGGGUUUGAAAUAAACAUCAACUGUGAUCUCACACUGAUAACGCCCCCACACCAUGCAAUUCCAUAAAGGAGCACACAAAUAAAACUAAACAAAUGCAUUAGCACACAGAAGAUCAACUCUAGUCUGUCCAGGAUGGAUAACAGUAGUGCACCCUGGUCCAGUUUCCUUAAACAUGUCUGACAUUUAAUUUCUAUAUCUUAAUGAACCGCUGAGGACAGUACAGUGUAUGUAUCUGAACACAUUCAGAUUGGAGGGACUCAUUCCGUUUCAAAACAUAGAUGGGUUCUUUACGAUGGCAUCCAGCUACACUGAGGACACUACAGUGUAUGUAUCUGGAGGGACUCAUUCCAUUUCAAAACAUGGAUGGGUUCUUUAAGAUGGCAUCCAGCUACACUGAGGACACUACAGUGUAUGUAUCUGGAGGGACUCAUUCCAUUUCAAAACAUGGAUGGGUUCUUUACGAUGGCAUCCAGCUACACUGAGGACACUACAGUGUAUGUAUCUGGAGGGACUCAUUCCAUUUCAAAACAUGGAUGGGUUCUUUACGAUGGCAUCCAGC